RNAcentral lists this ribosomal RNA (429 nucleotides) under uncultured bacterium. RNAcentral's name for it is "bacterial SSU rRNA". It matches the Rfam family "Bacterial small subunit ribosomal RNA", at positions 355 to 776 of the family's 1533-position model. The record is from RNAcentral.
UGGGGAAUCUUGCGCAAUGCGCGAAAGCGUGACGCAGCAACGCCGCGUGGGGGAAGACGGCCUUCGGGUUGUAAACCCCUUUCAGUUGGGACGAAGGUCGGGCGGUGAAUAGCCGUUCCGGCUGACGGUACCUUCACAAGAAGCCCCGGCUAACUACGUGCCAGCAGCCGCGGUAAUACGUAGGGGGCAAGCGUUGUCCGGAAUCAUUGGGCGUAAAGAGCGUGUAGGCGGCCCGGUAAGUCCGUUGUGAAAGUCAAGGGCUCAACCCUUGGAUGCCGGCGGAUACUGUCGGGCUAGAGUCCGGAAGAGGCGAGUGGAAUUCCUGGUGUAGCGGUGAAAUGCGCAGAUAUCAGGAGGAACACCUACGGCGAAGGCAGCUCGCUGGGACGGUACUGACGCUGAGACGCGAAAGCGUGGGGAGCAAACAGG